This is a long non-coding RNA of Oncorhynchus tshawytscha (Chinook salmon), 680 nucleotides long. The record is from Ensembl. NCBI's taxonomy places the organism in Eukaryota, Metazoa, Chordata, Actinopteri, Salmoniformes, Salmonidae.
CCCCCAGCCAGGUGAGGAGAUGGGACCGCCGGUCAUGGCGCCGACAGCUAGACAGCAGUGCCUCGGACUCCCCAGCAUCUGAUGGCAGUGUCAUGCUCAGCCCACUCUAUACCCACUCCCCCUUCCUCUCUCCCACAGCUACCAGCACUCCUCCCCACCCUGCUCCUCUUUCUAACACAUCUCCCAACAUCCCAAUAUUUUCCCCUUCCUUCUCUCUCAGUACGCCUUCCAGUUGUCCUAGCACGCCACUUUACCCCCACUCUUUCACCUCCAGUGCCCCUGGCACCCCAUUACGAAGUCAGGUGACAUCUUCCAGUGCCCCUUGUACCCCAUUACGAAGUCAGGUGACAUCUUCCAGUGCCCCUUGCACCCCAUUACGAAGUCAGGUGACAUCUUCCAGUGCCCCUGGCACCCCAUUACGAAGUCAGGUGACAUCUUCCAGUGUUUCUGGCACCCCAUUACGAAGUCAGGUGACAUCUUCCAGUGCUCCUGGCACCCCAUUACGAAGUCAGGUGACAUCUUCCAGUGUUUCUGGCACCCCAUUACGAAGUCAGGUGACAUCUUCCAGUGCCCCUGGCACCCCAUUACGAAGUCAGGUGACAUCUUCCAGUGCCCCUGGCACCCCAUUACGAAGUCAGGUGACAUCUUCCAGUGCCCCUGGCACCCCAUUACGAAGUCAG